ACGGUGGAUGCCUUGGCAGUCAGAGGCGAUGAAAGACGUGGUAGCCUGCGAAAAGCUUCGGGGAGUCGGCAAACUAGACUUUGAUCCGGUAGAUGUCUGUACACUGGGGGAACCCAUCCAUCAUAUAGGUUAUCUUGUACUGAAUAUCAUAGUGUGCAAGCAGGUCGAGAUCCAGGGGUAACUGAAACAUCUAAGGUACC
RNAcentral lists this ribosomal RNA (200 nucleotides) under chlamydia-associated clinical sample 30-T. Its description in RNAcentral is "partial 23S ribosomal RNA". It matches the Rfam family "Bacterial large subunit ribosomal RNA", at positions 21 to 210 of the family's 2925-position model. The record is from RNAcentral.